CGCAGGCUUCUCACGGGGAGGACAUCGGCUGAGCGCACAGCCCGCGAGCCUGCUCAGAACCUGUCCAUACCGGAGCCUGCAGACCUAGGACAGCCGGGGAACUCGAGGAGUGCUCGGCGGAGGCUGCUCUGCUGAAGGUGAAUCACCGCGUCCAAUUGCCUUUCCCUAGAGAACCCGGGGGAGGGCAGGAGAGGGGGAACGUGUGAGCGCGCGUUUGUGUGCAAGGGAGAGACGACGCGGGGCGAGAGGAAAAGUCCUCGCUCGCCGCUCAAAGCAAACAAAUCGGAGAUGGAAUAAGAGCGGCGGUUGCUGGAGCCCGCCUGGAUCCUCGCAGUCGCGGGAGCCGAGCGCACCGCGCGCAGCGCAUCGCCGGGGACAGCGGGAGACCGCGGGCGCCGCCGGGGGUUUUGGGGACUUUGGCUCUCCCCCUCGGUCAACAAACCUUCUGAUUACUUUGACACUGUGGGAUAAAGAGCAGAGCCUAGGGACCGGCCUCGCGCGCUGCAUCUUCCUUUGGCUUCGGGGAGGGAGGACCCUGUAUGUGAAGACACUGCCGAGCCCCCUUUAGCCUUCGGAGGAGGCGGAACUCACGCGCACGCAGGGCCACACUCGCUCGCCCUCCGCGAGCACACACCGGUGGACUUCAGGUCCCUAUGCCCCUGGAUGGUGCCAGAGGACCGGCAUCUCGGAAGCGAUGCAGGAGCGGUGAGGCUGGCGUUGGCCCGCGGAAGCUACAGGACCAUCACUAGGUGCUGCCGCCACCGGGACGCCCGGCUGCAGG
Molecule: long non-coding RNA, 781 nt
Filed under: Rattus norvegicus (Norway rat)
Lineage: Eukaryota; Metazoa; Chordata; Mammalia; Rodentia; Muridae
Description: long non-coding RNA NONRATT026809
Source: RNAcentral